Molecule: ribosomal RNA, 323 nt
Filed under: uncultured Methanomicrobiaceae archaeon
Lineage: Archaea; Methanobacteriati; Methanobacteriota; Methanomicrobia; Methanomicrobiales; Methanomicrobiaceae
Description: bacterial SSU rRNA
Rfam family: Archaeal small subunit ribosomal RNA
Source: RNAcentral
CCCUACGGGGCGCAGCAGGCGCGAAAACUUUACAAUGCGAGCAAUCGUGAUAAGGGAACUCCGAGUGCCUGUAAAAUCAGGCUGUCCGCCAGCGUAAAUAACUGGUGAAGAAAGGGCCGGGCAAGACCGGUGCCAGCCGCCGCGGUAAUACCGGCGGCUCGAGUGGUGGCCACUAUUACUGGGCUUAAAGCGUUCGUAGCUGGCUUGUUAAGUCUCUGGGGAAAUCUUCCGGCUCAACCGGAAGGCGUCUCAGGGAUACUGGCAGGCUAGGGACCGGAAGAGGUGAGAGGUACUCCAGGGGUAGGAGUGAAAUCCUGUAAUCC